RNAcentral lists this ribosomal RNA (465 nucleotides) under uncultured bacterium. RNAcentral describes it as "partial 16S ribosomal RNA". It matches the Rfam family "Bacterial small subunit ribosomal RNA", at positions 28 to 507 of the family's 1533-position model. The record is from RNAcentral.
GACGAACGCUGGCGGCGUGCUUAACACAUGCAAGUCGAACGGUAAGGCCCCUUCGGGGGUACACGAGUGGCGAACGGGUGAGUAACACGUGAGCAACCUGCCCUUGACUCUGGAAUAACAGUUGGAAACAGCUGCUAAUACUGGAUAUUCAUCGUCUCCUUCCUGGGGGGUGAUGGAAAGCUCCGGCGGUCAGGGAUGGGCUCGCGGCCUAUCAGCUUGUUGGUGAGGUAAUGGCUCACCAAGGCUUCGACGGGUAGCCGGCCUGAGAGGGCGACCGGCCACACUGGGACUGAGAUACGGCCCAGACUCCUACGGGAGGCAGCAGUGGGGAAUAUUGCACAAUGGGCGCAAGCCUGAUGCAGCAACGCCGCGUGCGGGAUGACGGCCUUCGGGUUGUAAACCGCUUUCAGUAGGGACGAAGGGUGACUGACGGUACCUACAGAAGAAGGACCGGCUAACUACGUG